This 1022-nucleotide long non-coding RNA is filed under the name Setaria italica (foxtail millet). Its description in RNAcentral is "long non-coding RNA (SITA_LNC004876)". Lineage: Eukaryota; Viridiplantae; Streptophyta; Magnoliopsida; Poales; Poaceae. The record is from RNAcentral.
CUGACUAGAAAAAUGGUGCACAGCUUCAGAUUCAUCAUCUAGCUAGUAUCUCUAGCUAUAGAGCAUGCAUCAUGAGUAAUUGUUGCGUUGCAUUGCAUUGCAUGAUUGGGUAUGUGCAUGCGUGCUGGCAAUGAUCAUGCAUGCUGGUGCCAUGCAAUGCAAGUGACGACCAUGCAUGCUCACUAGCACUAGCAGCAUGCAAAUGUGAAUGGGUUGACCUCGAGCAAUGCAAAGCAAGCAAAUGACUCUGCAGCUGGUGCUAACUCUCGAUUGACGAGUCAACGAACAGCAGGAAUCUUUGGAUAGGGAAAAACAAAGUCAUGCAUGGAUCUUGAUCGACGCAAGCAUUUAUGAAGGCCAUGUGGUUGCAUGCAGUGCAAUGCAAUGUAAUGGUCUCCCGAGGCCAUGUUUAGUUACUCCCAACUUCCAACUUUGACACUAUGCAAAAAGAAGAUUCUCCAUCACAUCAAACUUGCGGUACAUGCAUGGAGUACUAAAUGUAGAUAAAAUUAAAAAGUAAUUGCACAGUUUUGUUGUACUUUGCGAGACGAAUCUUUUGAGCCUAAUUAGUCAAUAUUUGGACAAUAAUUCACAAAUACAAACGAAACGCUACAGUGUGCUACAGUGCUGUAACAGUAAUUUGGCACCUCCCAAAUUCGCGAACUAAACAAGGCCCGAGUUUUGCUUUGACCACAGCAUCGAUUAGCAUGUAAGCGAUUUCAAAUUAUAGGUUGUUUUAGUUUUUUUUCAUGGAUAGUAUUACACAUCUAGACAUCUACUGGAUGUGCGUGGUAAAAACUAUGUACUUAUAAAAGUUAAAACGAUCUACAAUUUAAAACGGAGGGAGUAAUACUCUGUCAGUUGUUAUAUGCAGGAGUUCUUUACAUUUGUCAUCAUGCGUGCAUGUGAGUUAGUACUAUCUAGUUGAAUGUGCGUGUAUAUAUACAGUACACUAGCUAGUAUUACUAAUAAUUAGUAAGAUGGAAUAGUACGUAGGAGGAGAAAUUAAGCUAGAUUGGUGU